UCUAAGGAUGACCCAAAAUUUCAUUGGGUCAAAAAAAAUUAAGUUAAUGUGACCGUCCUCAUUUCUCUUCUUAUUAAUAAAGUGUCUACCUAAUGCAGGGCCGGUAGCUCAGUUGGUUAGAGCGCACCCCUGAUAAGGGUGAGGUCGGACGUUCGAGUCGUCCUCGGCCCACCAUUAUUAUAAAAAAGGGGGAUUAGCUCAGCUGGGAGAGCGCCUGAUUUGCAUUCAGGAGGUCAGCGGUUCGAUCCCGCUAUCCUCCACCAAAAUUGACACUUUUAGCUUUUUCACAUUGUAAAUAUAAUAUCAAUAUCUAUAUCCGAUUGUUCAUUCAUUUGAACAAUCAUAUAAAAAUUUAAUUUCUCACAGAAAAAAAUUAUUUUCUGUGCAUAAAU
This 392-nucleotide transfer RNA is filed under the name uncultured marine alpha proteobacterium. Its description in RNAcentral is "16S-23S intergenic spacer region". The stretch from base 98 to 171 matches the Rfam family "tRNA". Lineage: Bacteria; Pseudomonadati; Pseudomonadota; Alphaproteobacteria. The record is from RNAcentral.